This 748-nucleotide ribosomal RNA is filed under the name uncultured Lachnospiraceae bacterium. RNAcentral's name for it is "bacterial SSU rRNA". It matches the Rfam family "Bacterial small subunit ribosomal RNA", at positions 28 to 776 of the family's 1533-position model. Lineage: Bacteria; Bacillati; Bacillota; Clostridia; Lachnospirales; Lachnospiraceae. The record is from RNAcentral.
GAUGAACGCUGGCGGCGUGCUUAACACAUGCAAGUCGAACGAAGCUGCUUAAAGGAAGUCUUCGGACGGAAUUUAGGUAGACUUAGUGGCGGACGGGUGAGUAACGCGUGGAUAACCUGCCUUAUACAGGGGGAUAACGGAGAGAAAUUUCCGCUAAGACCGCAUAAGACCACAGCACCGCAUGGUGCAGGGGUAAAAUAUUUAUAGGUAUAAGAUGAAUCCGCGUCCGAUUAGCUAGUUGGUGAGGUAAAGGCCCACCAAGGCGACGAUCGGUAGCCGGCCUGAGAGGGUGAACGGCCACAUUGGGACUGAGACACGGCCCAAACUCCUACGGGAGGCAGCAGUGGGGAAUAUUGGACAAUGGGGGAAACCCUGAUCCAGCGACGCCGCGUGAGUGAAGAAGUAUUUCGGUAUGUAAAGCUCUAUCAGCAGGGAAGAAAAUGACGGUACCUGACUAAGAAGCCCCGGCUAACUACGUGCCAGCAGCCGCGGUAAUACGUAGGGGGCAAGCGUUAUCCGGAUUUACUGGGUGUAAAGGGAGCGCAGACGGCAAUGCAAGUCUGAAGUGAAAGGCGUGGGCUCAACCCAUGAACUGCUUUGGAAACUGUAUAGCUUGAGUGUCGGAGGGGUAAGCGGAAUUCCUAGUGUAGCGGUGAAAUGCGUAGAUAUUAGGAGGAACACCGGAGGCGAAGGCGGCUUACUGGACGACAACUGACGUUGAGGCUCGAAGGCGUGGGGAGCAAACAGG